GUAGGGAAUCUUGCGCAAUGGGCGAAAGCCUGACGCAGCCAUGCCGCGUGAAUGAUGAAGGUCUUAGGAUUGUAAAAUUCUUUCACCGGGGACGAUAAUGACGGUACCCGGAGAAGAAGCCCCGGCUAACUUCGUGCCAGCAGCCGCGGUAAUACGAAGGGGGCUAGCGUUGCUCGGAAUUACUGGGCGUAAAGGGCGCGUAGGCGGACAGUUUAGUCAGAGGUGAAAGCCCAGGGCUCAACCUUGGAAUUGCCUUUGAUACUGGCUGUCUUGAGUUUGGGAGAGGUGAGUGGAACUCCGAGUGUAGAGGUGAAAUUCGUAGAUAUUCGGAAGAACACCAGUGGCGAAGGCGACUCACUGGCCCAAUACUGACGCUGAGGCGCGAAAGCGUGGGGAGCAAACAGGAUUAGAAACCCGGGUAGUCC
This 425-nucleotide ribosomal RNA is filed under the name uncultured bacterium. RNAcentral describes it as "partial 16S ribosomal RNA". It matches the Rfam family "Bacterial small subunit ribosomal RNA", at positions 354 to 796 of the family's 1533-position model. The record is from RNAcentral.